GCACGGUAAGAUUGGGAAAACAGAGGAGUUGAUUGGCGAUCUCAGCAAAAGUGGCGCGAUACUCCCAUGGCGGAAGGCGAUCCCGGUUGAGCACUUCUACAAUAGUGAGGCGGUCCGUCUCCAACAACAGGUGAGUACUUGUUCUUCCUUGCUGUGAUAAUUCCUCAAGGGCACACAAAAGCGCUUGACAUUCUGUUUCAAGUGCAGAUUUUGCGGGGACAUCCCUGGUAACGCCGCUGAUCAGUCGACCAGUGUGAUCUUGAAUGAUACAAGCAAUCGCGCCCAUAUUCGUAGCUGUAGGGAAUGCUCCGUCAAUGUUUACCUUGAGGACACCUUGCUGAGGUGGGAUCCAUGUGCGAAGAUUACUCAGUCGAGCGCCUAUGCGGGAUUCCUUCUGCUGAGCACUAAGAUGGAGUUGGGCAAAGGCAAGAGCUGUGUCUACCAGGUGGUUCGGGUGCGUUCUUUGGUGGCGAAAGACGAAGUGAUUAUGAGCGAGCCAAAUGAACCAUAACAGGGCUGCAAUCUGUUCAAACACUGGUAUGUCCACCUCUUGGUCUAUUAAGUCUGC
RNAcentral lists this long non-coding RNA (568 nucleotides) under Eucalyptus grandis. RNAcentral's name for it is "long non-coding RNA (EGRA_LNC007526)". Lineage: Eukaryota; Viridiplantae; Streptophyta; Magnoliopsida; Myrtales; Myrtaceae. The record is from RNAcentral.